CAGCCGUAAACAAUGUGCGUUAGGUAUGUCGGUAACCACGUGUUACUGAUGUGCCGAAGAGAAAUCGUGAAACGCACCACCUGGGAAGUACGGUCGCAAGGCUGAAACUUAAAGGAAUUGGCGGGGGGAGCACCACAACGGGUGGAGCCUGCGGUUUAAUUGGACUCAACGCCGGGAAGCUCACCGGAUAAGACAGCGGAAUGAUUGCCGGGCUGAAGACUCUGCAUGACUAGCUGAGAGGAGGUGCAUGGCGUAGACGU
Molecule: ribosomal RNA, 260 nt
Filed under: uncultured archaeon
Lineage: Archaea
Description: partial 16S ribosomal RNA
Rfam family: Archaeal small subunit ribosomal RNA
Source: RNAcentral